This 406-nucleotide ribosomal RNA is filed under the name uncultured bacterium. RNAcentral describes it as "partial 16S ribosomal RNA". It matches the Rfam family "Bacterial small subunit ribosomal RNA", at positions 30 to 526 of the family's 1533-position model. The record is from RNAcentral.
AUUGAACGCUGGCGGCAGGCCUAACACAUGCAAGUCGAGCGAGCGGCGGACGGGUGAGUAAUGUCUGGGAAACUGCCUGAUGGAGGGGGAUAACUACUGGAAACGGUAUCUAAUACCGCAUACCAUCAGCUUUGCCCAGAUGGGAUUGGCUAGUAGGUGGGGUAACGGCUCACAUAGGCAACGAUCCCUAGCUGGUCUGAGAGGAUGACCAGCCACACUGGAACGGAGACACGGGCCAGACUCCUACGGGAGGCAGCAGUGGGGAAUAUUGCACAAUGGGCGAAAGCCUGAUGGAGCCAUGCCGCGUGUGUGAAGAAGGCCUUCGGGUUGUAAAGCACUGUCAGCGGGGAGGCGUUACCCGAAGAAGAAGCACCGGCUAACUCCGUGCCAGCAGCCGCGGUAAUAC